Molecule: ribosomal RNA, 450 nt
Filed under: uncultured bacterium
Lineage: Bacteria
Description: partial 16S ribosomal RNA
Rfam family: Bacterial small subunit ribosomal RNA
Source: RNAcentral
GUGGGGAAUUUUGGACAAUGGGCGCAAGCCUGAUCCAGCAAUGCCGCGUGCAGGAAGAAGGCCUUCGGGUUGUAAACUGCUUUUGUACGGAACGAAACGGUCCUGGCUAAUAUCCGGGGCUAAUGACGGUACCGUAAGAAUAAGCACCGGCUAACUACGUGCCAGCAGCCGCGGUAAUACGUAGGGUGCGAGCGUUAAUCGGAAUUACUGGGCGUAAAGCGUGCGCAGGCGGUGCUGUAAGACAGGCGUGAAAUCCCCGGGCUCAACCUGGGAAUUGCGCUUGUGACUGCAGUGCUGGAGUGCGGCAGAGUGGGAUGGAAUUCCGCGUGUAGCAGUGAAAUGCGUAGAUAUGCGGAGGAACACCGAUGGCGAAGGCAAUCCCCUGGGCCUGCACUGACGCUCAUGCACGAAAGCGUGGGGAGCAAACAGGAUUAGAAACCCGAGUAGUCC